AGUGAACGCUGGCGGUAGGCCUAACACAUGCAAGUCGAACGGCAGCACAGUAAGAGCUUGCUCUUACGGGUGGCGAGUGGCGGACGGGUGAGGAAUACAUCGGAAUCUACUUUUUCGUGGGGGAUAACGUAGGGAAACUUACGCUAAUACCGCAUACGACCUACGGGGGAAAGCAUGGGAUCUUCGGACCUUGCGCGAUUGAAUGAGCCGAUGUCGGAUUAGCUAGUUGGCGGGGUAAAGGCCCACCAAGGCGACGAUCCGUAGCUGGUCUGAGAGGAUGAUCAGCCACACUGGAACUGCGACACGGUCCAGGCUCCUACGGGAGGCAGCAGUGGGGAAUAUUGGACAAUGGGCGCAAGCCUGAUCCAGCCAUACCGCGUGGGUGAAGAAGGCCUUCGGGUUGUAAAGCCCUUUUGUUGGGAAAGAAAAGCAGCAGGUUAAGACCCCGCUGUUCUGACGGUACCCAAAGAAUAAGCACCGGCUAACUUCGUG
RNAcentral lists this ribosomal RNA (492 nucleotides) under uncultured bacterium. Its description in RNAcentral is "partial 16S ribosomal RNA". It matches the Rfam family "Bacterial small subunit ribosomal RNA", at positions 29 to 507 of the family's 1533-position model. The record is from RNAcentral.